UUGCACGCUGGCGGCAGGCCUAACACAUGCAAGUCGAACGGUAACAGGAAGAAGCUUGCUUCUUUGCUGACGAGUGGCGGACGGGUGAGUAAUGUCUGGGAAACUGCCUGAUGGAGGGGGAUAACUACUGGAAACGGUAGCUAAUACCGCAUAACGUCGCAAGACCAAAGAGGGGGACCUUCGGGCCUCUUGCCAUCGGAUGUGCCCAGAUGGGAUUAGCUAGUAGGUGGGGUAACGGCUCACCUAGGCGACGAUCCCUAGCUGGUCUGAGAGGAUGACCAGCCACACUGGAACUGAGACACGGUCCAGACUCCUACGGGAGGCAGCAGUGGGGAAUAUUGCACAAUGGGCGCAAGCCUGAUGCAGCCAUGCCGCGUGUAUGAAGAAGGCCUUCGGGUUGUAAAGUACUUUCAGCGGGGAGGAAGGGAGUAAAGUUAAUACCUUUGCUCAUUGACGUUGCCCGCAGAAGAAGCACCGGCUAACUCCGUG
RNAcentral lists this ribosomal RNA (489 nucleotides) under uncultured bacterium. RNAcentral describes it as "partial 16S ribosomal RNA". It matches the Rfam family "Bacterial small subunit ribosomal RNA", at positions 30 to 507 of the family's 1533-position model. The record is from RNAcentral.